UUAGGGUUAGUUUAUUAAGAAUUGUUGAUUGUUGAUCGAUAGGUUUUUCUCUAAAAGG
This 58-nucleotide transfer RNA is filed under the name Parafilaroides normani. RNAcentral's name for it is "tRNA-Asn". Lineage: Eukaryota; Metazoa; Nematoda; Chromadorea; Rhabditida; Filaroididae. The record is from RNAcentral.